CCUUCUGUCAGAUUAGUGAAAGCAUUAGAUUAGAAGCAAAGUGCACAGUAAAUGUAAUAUGCUUGAAUCAUCCCCAAACGCCCACUUCUGGUCCAUGGAAAAACUGUUUUCCACAAAAUUGGUCCCUGCUGCCGAAAAGGUUGGGGACCUCUGAACUAUACCAGUAGUCCUCCAAGUGUGGCUCUGGGAUCAGCAGCAUCAGCAUCACCAAAUUCUCAGCUCCCAUGCCAGACCUGAAUCUGAAACACUUGGGUGGGAUCCAGCAAUGUGGAUUGCGACAAGUCCUCUAGCCUCUUUCAACACAGUCUGUUAAUGGGAGAAGAUGGCUGUCUCCCUCCAGUGAUUCUUUCAGGGAUAAUCCAUUUCGGGCCCAGGAUGCACAGAAAGCUGACAGUGGAGAAGGUGACUGGUUACACAGUUGGAGGAAUGUAAAUUACUCUGGUUCUGCUCCACAGGACAAGACACUGACUUGCAGUGGAAACUGGAAACAAAACAUUGUUCCCUGGCACAGAGGGGAUCGUCCCCGUCAAGGGAUUGAACCUUUGUCUCUUGCAUCUCCUGCUUCUCUAGGACCGCCUGCACUGACAGCCCGGGUUCUUUACCACUAGCGCCACCUGGGAAAGUAAAUACUAACAUCUGUAUAAUAAAUUUUAUUAUAAUCAGGUUUUGUUCUAAUCC
Molecule: long non-coding RNA, 678 nt
Organism: Bubalus bubalis (water buffalo)
Lineage: Eukaryota; Metazoa; Chordata; Mammalia; Artiodactyla; Bovidae
Exons: 4
Source: RefSeq, a predicted model, not a curated record